AUUGAACGCUGGCGGCAUGCUUUACACAUGCAAGUCGAACGGCAGCACGGGCUUCGGCCUGGUGGCGAGUGGCGAACGGGUGAGUAAUGCGUCGGAACGUGCCGAGUAAUGGGGGAUAACGCAUCGAAAGGUGUGCUAAUACCGCAUACGCUCUGAGGAGGAAAGCGGGGGACCUUCGGGCCUCGCGUUAUUCGAGCGGCCGACGUCUGAUUAGCUAGUUGGUGGGGUAAAGGCUCACCAAGGCGACGAUCAGUAGCGGGUCUGAGAGGAUGAUCCGCCACACUGGGACUGAGACACGGCCCAGACUCCUACGGGAGGCAGCAGUGGGGAAUUUUGGACAAUGGGCGAAAGCCUGAUCCAGCCAUGCCGCGUGAGUGAAGAAGGCCUUCGGGUUGUAAAGCUCUUUUGUCCGGGAGGAAAUCCCGUAACCUAAUACGUUACGGGGAUGACAGUACUGGAAGAAUAAGCACCGGCUAACUACGUGCCAGCAGCCGCGGUAAUACGUAGGGUGCAAGCGUUAAUCGGAAUUACUGGGCGUAAAGCGUGCGCAGGCGGUUUGAUAAGUCANAUGUGAAAUCCCCGGGCUUAACCUGGGAACUGCGUUUGAAACUGUC
RNAcentral lists this ribosomal RNA (614 nucleotides) under uncultured prokaryote. RNAcentral describes it as "bacterial SSU rRNA". It matches the Rfam family "Bacterial small subunit ribosomal RNA", at positions 28 to 637 of the family's 1533-position model. The record is from RNAcentral.